RNAcentral lists this ribosomal RNA (468 nucleotides) under uncultured bacterium. Its description in RNAcentral is "partial 16S ribosomal RNA". It matches the Rfam family "Bacterial small subunit ribosomal RNA", at positions 28 to 507 of the family's 1533-position model. The record is from RNAcentral.
GACGAACGCUGGCGGCGUGCUUAACACAUGCAAGUCGAACGGAAAGGCCCUGCUUUUGUGAGGUGCUCGAGUGGCGAACGGGUGAGUAACACGUGAGUAACCUGCCCUUGACUUUGGGAUAACUUCAGGAAACUGGGGCUAAUACCGGAUAGGAGCUCCUGCUGCAUGGUGGGGGUUGGAAAGUUUCGGCGGUUGGGGAUGGACUCGCGGCUUAUCAGCUUGUUGGUGGGGUAGUGGCUUACCAAGGCUUUGACGGGUAGCCGGCCUGAGAGGGUGACCGGCCACAUUGGGACUGAGAUACGGCCCAGACUCCUACGGGAGGCAGCAGUGGGGAAUAUUGCACAAUGGGCGGAAGCCUGGUGCAGCAACGCCGCGUGCGGGAUGACGGCCUUCGGGUUGUAAACCGCUUUCGCCUGUGACGAAGCGUGAGUGACGGUAAUGGGUAAAGAAGCACCGGCUAACUACGUG